Molecule: ribosomal RNA, 492 nt
Filed under: uncultured marine bacterium
Lineage: Bacteria
Description: bacterial SSU rRNA
Rfam family: Bacterial small subunit ribosomal RNA
Source: RNAcentral
AGCGGCAGGCCUAAUACAUGCAAGUCGUACGGGAUUUCAUCUUUCGGGAUGAAUGAGAGUGGCGCACGGGUGCGUAACGCGUAUGCAACCUACCUGUUACAGGGAGAUAGCCCGGGGAAACUCGGAUUAAUAUUCCAUAGUAUAUAAUCGUUGCAUGGUGAUUAUAUUAAAGCCUUCGGGUGGUAACAGAGGGGCAUGCGAAGGAUUAGCUAGUUGGCGAGGUAACGGCUCACCAAGGCGACGAUCCUUAGGGGUUCUGAGAGGAAGGUCCCCCACACUGGCACUGAGAUACGGGCCAGACUCCUACGGGAGGCAGCAGUAGGGAAUAUUGGUCAAUGGGCGAGAGCCUGAACCAGCCAUGCCGCGUGCAGGAAGACGGCGUUCUGCGUUGUAAACUGCUUUUAUCUGGGAAGAAAAAGCCCUUGCGAGGGAAAUUGCCGGUACCAGAAGAAUAAGCACCGGCUAACUCCGUGCCAGCAGCCGCGGUAAUAC